RNAcentral lists this long non-coding RNA (509 nucleotides) under Nicotiana benthamiana. RNAcentral's name for it is "long non-coding RNA (NBEN_LNC004433)". Lineage: Eukaryota; Viridiplantae; Streptophyta; Magnoliopsida; Solanales; Solanaceae. The record is from RNAcentral.
UCCAACAUACGCUUCCGCGAUCCACGCCUAUUCCUCCAUUUCCGCCUUCCCGGCUCACCCGCCACUUCUGCGGUCACCGCUUAAGCGGCUCUCCUUCCGCAGAAGCGGAAAUACCAGAAGACAGAUAUGUUUUCAUGCAAUAAACUCCAAAACCUCCGAUCAACCAUCCAGAAAUACCCCGAGGCCCCAGGGAACCCAACCAAAACAACCAUCCUAUGCCAAAACAUCAGACGAACUUGCUCCAAUCAUAAAAACACGUCCUUAAACACAAAAAUCAUCAAAUCAUGACGGAUUCAAGCCUAAGUUUCUUAAGAACUUCCAAAAUGCGCAUACAAUCCAAAACCCAACCAAACGACAUCCGAAUGACCUGAAAAUUUACAAACAUAUCCAAAAUCACCAAAUGAAGCUAAUGCAACUCUAGGGAUUCCAUUCCAACCCUCAAAUCAAAAUCUCAUCUAUCAACCUGAAUUCGCCGAAAUUCAACUUAGCCAAUUCAAGCCUAAUUCUAC